Molecule: ribosomal RNA, 497 nt
Filed under: uncultured bacterium
Lineage: Bacteria
Description: partial 16S ribosomal RNA
Rfam family: Bacterial small subunit ribosomal RNA
Source: RNAcentral
GAUGAACGCUGGCGGCGUGCCUAAUACAUGCAAGUCGAGCGAACAGACGAGGAGCUUGCUCCUCUGACGUUAGCGGCGGACGGGUGAGUAACACGUGGAUAACCUACCUAUAAGACUGGGAUAACUUCGGGAAACCGGAGCUAAUACCGGAUAAUAUAUUGAACCGCAUGGUUCAAUAGUGAAAGACGGUUUUGCUGUCACUUAUAGAUGGAUCCGCGCCGCAUUAGCUAGUUGGUAAGGUAACGGCUUACCAAGGCAACGAUGCGUAGCCGACCUGAGAGGGUGAUCGGCCACCCUGGAACUGAGACACGGUCCAGACUCCUACGGGAGGCAGCAGUAGGGAAUCUGCCGCAAGGGGCGAAAGCCUGACGGAGCAACGCCGCGUGAGUGAUGAAGGUCUUCGGAUCGUAAAACUCUGUUAUUAGGGAAGAACAAAUGUGUAAGUAACUAUGCACAUCUUGACGGUACCUAAUCAGAAAGCCACGGCUAACUACGUG